ACGCUCGACACCUACGAGGCAGCAGUGGGGAAUAUUGCACAAUGGGGGAAACCCUGAUGCAGCGACGCCGCGUGAAGGAAGAAGUAUCUCGGUAUGUAAACUUCUAUCAGCAGGGAAGAAAAUGACGGUACCUGACUAAGAAGCCCCGGCUAACUACGUGCCCGCAGCCGCGGUAAUCUGAGCGGGCUGGCAAGGC
RNAcentral lists this ribosomal RNA (196 nucleotides) under uncultured bacterium. Its description in RNAcentral is "partial 16S ribosomal RNA". It matches the Rfam family "Bacterial small subunit ribosomal RNA", at positions 326 to 539 of the family's 1533-position model. The record is from RNAcentral.